UACAGAGGUCUCAAGCGUUGUUCGGAUUCAUUGGGCGUAAAGGGUGCGUAGGCGGCGCGGUAAGUCGGGGUGUGAAAUCUCGGAGCUUAACUCCGAAACUGCAUUCGAUACUGCCGUGCUUGAGGACUGGAGAGGAGACUGGAAUUUACGGUGUAGCGGUGAAAUGCGUAGAUAUCGUAAGGAAGACCAGUGGCGAAGGCGGGUCUCUGGACAGUUCCUGACGCUGAGGCACGAAGGUCAGGGG
Molecule: ribosomal RNA, 244 nt
Filed under: uncultured bacterium
Lineage: Bacteria
Description: partial 16S ribosomal RNA
Rfam family: Bacterial small subunit ribosomal RNA
Source: RNAcentral